UAGAGGAGAACCUCAUUCAGGGCAGGUCCUAUUCUUUCUGAGGGGACUGAGGGUAGAGGAGAACCUCGUUCAGGGCAGGUCCUAUUCUUUCUGAGGGGACUGAGGGUAGAGGAGAACCUCGUUCAGGGCAGGUCCUAUUCUUUCUGAGGGGACUGAGGGUAGAGGAGAACCUCGUUCAGGGCAGGUCCUAGUCUUUCUGAGGGGACUGGGGGUAGAGGAGAACCUCGUUCAGGGCAGGUCCUAUUCUGUCUGAGGGUAGAGGAGAACCUCGUUCAGGGCAGGUCCUAGUCUUUCUGAGGGGACAGGGGUAGAGGAGAACCUCGUUCAGG
Molecule: long non-coding RNA, 329 nt
Organism: Oncorhynchus tshawytscha (Chinook salmon)
Lineage: Eukaryota; Metazoa; Chordata; Actinopteri; Salmoniformes; Salmonidae
Source: Ensembl